ACGGACUACAAAACACGGAAAAUGCUAUGCUACCCGCUGCAGGCCCACGAUCACGACCACGGCUCAGUCCUCUGGAUAGUUCACGUAAAGGCGAUCUGUCUCCUCGUCGUACUGCCACGCCAGCUGGGCGCCAUCGGGAUCAUCUGCCUCUGGGGUACCUGUACCUGCUGGGAGUUUCGGAGGAAUCCGUGAGCCAUGGGGACUCAGCAAUCUAAGACCUUGGUGCCAGAACUAGUCAUGUUAUUGGGUAAGGAAGGGGUGAAGUGUUUCAGGU
RNAcentral lists this long non-coding RNA (274 nucleotides) under Hordeum vulgare. RNAcentral's name for it is "long non-coding RNA (HVUL_LNC003192)". Lineage: Eukaryota; Viridiplantae; Streptophyta; Magnoliopsida; Poales; Poaceae. The record is from RNAcentral.